This 244-nucleotide long non-coding RNA is filed under the name Setaria viridis. Its description in RNAcentral is "long non-coding RNA (SVIR_LNC004599)". The record is from RNAcentral. Lineage: Eukaryota; Viridiplantae; Streptophyta; Magnoliopsida; Poales; Poaceae.
AGAACUCGGCAUAACGAUGCUCGGAACACCUAUUCGAGUAACCACAAUCACAAACAGAAGCCCGACAACACUGUUGCCGCCAUGACCAACUCCGGAAAAAAGGGACACCGCAGAAAUGAUGAAGGGCCAACCUUCACUGAGCUACUCAAAAAGCAGUGCCCAUGGCAUCCGACUAGCAAGCACUCGGUGAUAGACUGCUACAGCAUGCGCCGAGUGAUGCAAGACUUACCCGCACCACCACCCC